RNAcentral lists this ribosomal RNA (490 nucleotides) under uncultured bacterium. RNAcentral describes it as "partial 16S ribosomal RNA". It matches the Rfam family "Bacterial small subunit ribosomal RNA", at positions 29 to 507 of the family's 1533-position model. The record is from RNAcentral.
AGUGAACGCUGGCGGCAGGCCUAACACAUGCAAGUCGAACGGCAGCACAAGAGCGCUUGCUCUCUGGGUGGCGAGUGGCGGACGGGUGAGGAAUGCAUCGGAAUCUGCCCAUUUGUGGGGGAUAACCUCGGGAAACCGGGACUAAUACCGCAUACGACCUACGGGUGAAAGCAGGGGAUCUUCGGACCUUGCGCAGAUGGAUGAGCCGAUGCCGGAUUAGCUAGUUGGAGGGGUAAAGGCCCACCAAGGCGACGAUCCGUAGCUGGUCUGAGAGGAUGAUCAGCCACACUGGGACUGAGACACGGCCCAGACUCCUACGGGAGGCAGCAGUGGGGAAUAUUGGACAAUGGGCGCAAGCCUGAUCCAGCCAUGCCGCGUGUGUGAAGAAGGCCUUCGGGUUGUAAGGCACUUUUGUUGGGAAAGAAAAGCAGCCGGUUAAUACCCGGUUGUCAUGACGGUACCCAAAGAAUAAGCACCGGCUAACUUCGUG